RNAcentral lists this ribosomal RNA (1943 nucleotides) under Novistrombidium apsheronicum. RNAcentral describes it as "LSU rRNA". It matches the Rfam family "Eukaryotic large subunit ribosomal RNA", at positions 1 to 1874 of the family's 3401-position model. Lineage: Eukaryota; Ciliophora; Spirotrichea; Strombidiidae. The record is from RNAcentral.
UGAACUCAUUGAGAGUUGAGGCAGUGCAGUUUCGGCUGUAAGUGCUUAGACUAAUAAACUUAGAUUCAGUAUCUGGGCUCAGGCGGGACCACCCGCUGAACUUAAGCAUAUCACUAAGCGGAGGAAAAGAAACUAACUAGGAUGGCCUCAGUAACGGCGAGUGAAGCGGCCAGAGCCCAAGAUGGAAAUCUCCGUGCUGUGCACGGCGAGUUGUAAUCUAGAGAGGCUAUACUCACCGGAAUCCGACGCAGAAGUGCCCUCGAACGGGCCGCCAAAGAGGGUGAUAGCCCCGUAUGUGGUGUUGGAUUCUAACGAGUAGGUCUUCAAAGAGUCGGGUUGUUUUGGAUAGCAGCCCUAAGCGGGAGAUAAACUUCUUCUAAGGCUAAAUAUAUGUGGGAAACCGAUAGCGAACAAGUACUGUGAAGGAAAGAUGAAAAGCACUUUGGAAAGAGAGUCAAAAGACCUGAAACCGUUGAGGAGGAAGCGGUAGAGAUGAAUUCUACUGAGUGUUUCUGGGAAGCUGGCCUAAGCAUGGCAGGCGGGUCGUACGUCAAAGGCGGCUGUUUGUCUAAGUGGAAGCCAGUGACUUGAAGUGCUUAGUGAGAUCGGAUGGAGCGAUUCAGUUUCAAAAGUUGAGCAUACUUCACUUGCUUGCAGGUAGUUUGUUUAUACUGGAGACUGAAUGGCUUGAGGGUGCCUUGUGCGAUCCGGUCAAAAUGGUCUCUACCGGCCCGUCUUGAAACACGGACCAAGGAGUCUAACGUACACGCGAGUGUGACGGUGGAAAAACCGACACGCGUAAUGAAAGUAAUUGAUGCCAAGCGCAAGCAGCAGCAUCGACCGACCAUGAUCCUCUGGAGAAAGGUUUGAGUACGAGCGUGUCCGCUAGGACCCGAAAGAUGGUGAACUAUGCCUGUGUAGGGUGAAGCCAGGGGAAACUCUGGUGGAGGCUCGUAGCGAUACUGACGUGCAAAUCGUUCGUCGAACAUGGGUAUAGGGGCGAAAGACUAAUCGAACCAUCUAGUAGCUGGUUCCCUCCGAAGUUUCCCUUAGGAUAGCAAGGACAAUUGCGCAGUUUUAUUAGGUAAAGCGAAUGAUUAGAGGAAUCGGGGGCUACUUGCUCUCGACCUAUUCUCAAACUCUAAAUUGGUAAGAACCCGGGCCUAUCUUAAGUGAGGCGUCGGGGCUCAAUGCGUGUCCUUAGUGGGCCAUUUUUGGUAAGCAGAACUGGCGAUGAGGGAUGCACCUAACGUCGGGUUAAGGCGCCAAACUGCGCGCUCAUCCGAUACCACAAAGGGUGUUGGUCCAUCUAGACAGCAGGACGGUGGCCAUGGAAGUCGGAACCCGCUAAGGAGUGUGUAACAACUCACCUGCCGAAUGGACUAGCCCCGAAAAUGGAUGGCGCUUAAGCGCGCGGCCGAUACCCGACCAUUGUCGCGAGAGUGAGGCGGCAAUGAGUAGGAGGGCGUGGGCGUCGUAGCGAAGCCUCUGGCGUGAGCCUGGGUAGAACGGCGUCUAGUGCAGAUCUUGGUGGUAGUAGCAAUUAUUCAAAUGAGAACUUUGAAGGCCGGAGUGGAGAAGGUUUCCGUGAGAACAGCAAUUGGUCACGGGUGACUCGAUCCUAAGACAUGGGGGAAGCCCCUAGUAAGAGUUGAUUAACUGUAGUCGAAAGGGAAUGAGGUUAAUAUUCCUCAAGCUGGAUGUGGGUGUUAUAUGGCAACAUAAAUGAACCUGAGGACGCCGGCACGAGCCUCUGGAAGAGUUCUCUUUUCUUUUUAACAGAUUAGCGGCCCUGAAAUGGGAUUAUCCCGAGAUAGGGCGGCAUAUCUGGAAGAGCGCCUCGCUUUCUGUGGCGUCAGGUGCGCUCGUGACGGUCCAUGAAAACUCAGGUGAGAUAGUAUCACACCAGGUCGUACCCAUAACCGCAUCAGGUCUCCAAGGUU